ACGUAUGGGGCAAGCGUUAUCCGGAUUUAUUGGGUUUAAAGGGUGCGUAGGUGGGUUAUUAAGUCCGUGGUGAAAGUUUGUCGCUUAACGAUAAAAUUGCCAUUGAAACUGGAUUUCUUGAGUAUGUUUGAGGUAGGCGGAAUGCGUGGUGUAGCGGUGAAAUGCAUAGAUAUCACGCAGAACUCCGAUUGCGAAGGCAGCUUACUAAACCAUAACUGACACUGAAGCACGAAAGCGUGGGGAUCAAACAG
Molecule: ribosomal RNA, 251 nt
Filed under: uncultured bacterium
Lineage: Bacteria
Description: partial 16S ribosomal RNA
Rfam family: Bacterial small subunit ribosomal RNA
Source: RNAcentral